GUUGUAUGGUUAAGUGACUAAGCGUACACGGUGGAUGCCUUGGCAGUUGGAGGCGAUGAAGGACGUAUUAACUUGCGAUAAGCCUAGUCAAGCUAGUAAAAAGCACUUGAGACUAGGAUUUCCGAAUGGGGAAACCCACCUGCUUGCAGGUAUCGUUAACUGAAUACAUAGGUUAACGAGGCGAACGCGGAGAACUGAAACAUCUAAGUACCCGUA
Molecule: ribosomal RNA, 216 nt
Filed under: Pseudoalteromonas porphyrae
Lineage: Bacteria; Pseudomonadati; Pseudomonadota; Gammaproteobacteria; Alteromonadales; Pseudoalteromonadaceae
Description: partial 23S ribosomal RNA
Rfam family: Bacterial large subunit ribosomal RNA
Source: RNAcentral